CAAACGCACAUGGAGUCUGUGAU
RNAcentral lists this microRNA (23 nucleotides) under Panagrellus redivivus. RNAcentral describes it as "prd-miR-7948a-3p". The record is from miRBase by way of RNAcentral. Lineage: Eukaryota; Metazoa; Nematoda; Chromadorea; Rhabditida; Panagrolaimidae.